Molecule: long non-coding RNA, 279 nt
Filed under: Anser cygnoides (Swan goose)
Lineage: Eukaryota; Metazoa; Chordata; Aves; Anseriformes; Anatidae
Description: lncRNA (ENSACDG00005007509.1)
Source: RNAcentral
GUGGAUGUUCACAGAAAGGGCUUCAGGAAGUUCUGAAAACCAUGGAGUAAUCUAGAAAAUACUAUACCAACAGCCUGUUUUAUAGAAUCCUGUGCAAUGGCCUGGGUCUCAGCUGUGGAGGAACUUUCAGAAGAGGACCACCAACUUAAAUACAAUUGAUCUUCGUCCCCACCUGUACAAAUAAGUGUCUCAGCUAUCGGGGUCUGCCGGUAGCUGACAAGGUAUAAAGAUAUGCUUCUCUUUUUCAUUCUUGUGAAGUUAGGGGUAGUGCCCAUUUAA